This 365-nucleotide long non-coding RNA is filed under the name Homo sapiens (human). Its description in RNAcentral is "HSALNT0400965". Lineage: Eukaryota; Metazoa; Chordata; Mammalia; Primates; Hominidae. The record is from RNAcentral.
UGGAGCAUCAGAGACGCUUGGGUCCCAAUCUCCUCUGCCACAAUCUAGCUCUGUGCCCUAUUCUUUUUUUUUUUUUUUUUUUUUUUUUGAGACAGAAUCUCGCUCUGUUGCCCAGGCUGGAGUGUAGUGGUGCAAUCUUGGCUCACUGCAAGCUCUGCCUCCCGGGUUCACGCCAUUCUCCUGCCUCAGCCUCCCGAGUAGCUGGGACUACAGGCGCCCACGACCACGCCCGGCUAAUGUUUUUGUAUUUUUAGUAGAGACAGGGUUUCACCAUGUUAGCCAGGAUGGUCUUGAUCUCGUGACCUCGUGACCCGCCCAUCUCGGCCUCCCAAAGUGCUGGGAUUACAGGCUUGAGCCACCGCGUC